AUGAACAACCUAAAAAAUCUAGACUACGAGGGAUCUGAUAAUGGAAUCAAAUACGCAGUAUUCACAGAAAAAAGUCUUCGUUUAUUGGGAAAGAAUCAAUAUACUUUUAAUGUCGAAUCGGGAUUCACUAAGACAGAAAUAAAGCAUUGGGUCGAACUCUUCUUUGAUGUUAAGGUGGUAGCUGUGAAUAGCCAUCGACUACCUGGAAAAGGUAGAAGAAUAGGACCUAUUCUGGGCCAUAUAAUGUAUUAUAGACGUAUGAUCAUUACCCUUCAACCGGGUUAUGCUAUUCCACUUCUAGAUAGAGAAAAAAACUAA
This 318-nucleotide ribosomal RNA is filed under the name Triticum aestivum (bread wheat). RNAcentral describes it as "partial small subunit ribosomal RNA". Lineage: Eukaryota; Viridiplantae; Streptophyta; Magnoliopsida; Poales; Poaceae. The record is from RNAcentral.